RNAcentral lists this ribosomal RNA (459 nucleotides) under uncultured bacterium. Its description in RNAcentral is "partial 16S ribosomal RNA". It matches the Rfam family "Bacterial small subunit ribosomal RNA", at positions 338 to 795 of the family's 1533-position model. The record is from RNAcentral.
CCUACGGGUGGCAGCAGUGAGGAAUAUUGGUCAAUGGCCGGAAGGCUGAACCAGCCAAGCCGCGUGAAGGACGAAGGUGCCAAGCAUUGUAAACUUCUUUUGUCAAGGGACAAAAUCAGGCUCGAGAGCCUGACCGCGGGUACUUGAAGAAAAAGCAUCGGCUAACUCCGUGCCAGCAGCCGCGGUAAUACGGAGGAUGCGAGCGUUAUCCGGAUUUAUUGGGGUUAAAGGGUGCGUAGGCGGGCUGUUAAGCGAGCGGUAAAAGCCCGGGGCUCAACCCCGGCGAGCCGUUGAAACUGGCUGUCUUGAGAUGUCGAGAGGUAUGCGGAAUGCGCAGUGUAGCGGUGAAAUGCUUAGAUAUGGCGAAGAACUCCGAUUGCGAAGGCAGCAUACCGGCGGCGAUCUGACGCUGAGGCACGAAAGCGUGGGUAUCGAACAGGAUUAGAUACCCCUGUAGUC